UUUACCCUGCCCUGUGCGUGAUUCGUAGCUGAAUCCUUGAACCGUAAUUAUACGAAUCCUGGUGUCUAUUCGUGAUGACAGCCGACAGGCCUUAAUUGGAAGUCAAAAGUUAUCCGGCGGGCGCCGCAUGUUGACUCAACAUGUUCAAAGGAGUAGCUACACACGGCAAUGGUGGGGUCACU
RNAcentral lists this non-coding RNA (182 nucleotides) under Verrucomicrobiota bacterium. Its description in RNAcentral is "Verrucomicrobia bacterium (freshwater metagenome) 6S RNA". It matches the Rfam family "6S / SsrS RNA". Rfam says of the family: E. coli 6S RNA was the first non coding RNA to be sequenced, but its function was unknown until recently. It consists of 184 nucleotides that fold into an extended hairpin structure with a large single-stranded internal bulge. Lineage: Bacteria; Pseudomonadati; Verrucomicrobiota. The record is from RNAcentral.